This 384-nucleotide ribosomal RNA is filed under the name Micromonas sp. RNAcentral's name for it is "partial small subunit ribosomal RNA". It matches the Rfam family "Eukaryotic small subunit ribosomal RNA", at positions 582 to 975 of the family's 1831-position model. Lineage: Eukaryota; Viridiplantae; Chlorophyta; Mamiellophyceae; Mamiellales; Mamiellaceae. The record is from RNAcentral.
AUUCCAGCUCCAAUAGCGUAUAUUUAAGUUGUUGCAGUUAAAAAGCUCGUAGUUGGACUUCGGUUGAGAGCGGCCGGUCCGCCGUUUGGUGUGCACUGGCUGGUUUCAGCUUCCUGCAGAGGACGCGCUCUGGGCUUAAUCGUCUGGACGUGGAGUCUGCGUGGUUACUUUGAAGAAAUUAGAGUGUUCAAAGCGGGCUUACGCUUGAAUAUUUCAGCAUGGAAUAACACUAUAGGACUCCUGUCCUAUUUCGUUGGUCUCGGGACGGGAGUAAUGAUUAAGAGGAACAGUUGGGGGCAUUCGUAUUUCAAUGUCAGAGGUGAAAUUCUUGGAUUUUUGAAAGACGAACUUCUGCGAAAGCAUUUGCCAAGGAUGUUUUCAUCG